RNAcentral lists this ribosomal RNA (486 nucleotides) under uncultured Bacillus sp. Its description in RNAcentral is "bacterial SSU rRNA". It matches the Rfam family "Bacterial small subunit ribosomal RNA", at positions 37 to 504 of the family's 1533-position model. Lineage: Bacteria; Bacillati; Bacillota; Bacilli; Caryophanales; Bacillaceae. The record is from RNAcentral.
UGGCGGCGUGCCUAAUACAUGCAAGUCGAGCGAUGGAUUAAGAGCUUGCUCUUAUGAAGUUAGCGGCGGACGGGUGAGUAACACGUGGGUAACCUGCCCAUAAGACUGGGAUAACUCCGGGAAACCGGGGCUAAUACCGGAUAAUAUUUUGAACUGCAUGGUUCGAAAUUGAAAGGCGGCUUCGGCUGUCACUUAUGGAUGGACCCGCGUCGCAUUAGCUAGUUGGUGAGGUAACGGCUCACCAAGGCAACGAUGCGUAGCCGACCUGAGAGGGUGAUCGGCCACACUGGGACUGAGACACGGCCCAGACUCCUACGGGAGGCAGCAGUAGGGAAUCUUCCGCAAUGGACGAAAGUCUGACGGAGCAACGCCGCGUGAGUGAUGAAGGCUUUCGGGUCGUAAAACUCUGUUGUUAGGGAAGAACAAGUGCUAGUUGAAUAAGCUGGCACCUUGACGGUACCUAACCAGAAAGCCACGGCUAACUAC